UUUAACAUGAGAGUUUGAUCCUGGCUCAGGAUGAACGCUGGCGGCGUGCUUAACACAUGCAAGUCGAACGAAGCACUUUAUUUGAUUUCCUUCGGGACUGAUUAUUUUGUGACUGAGUGGCGGACGGGUGAGUAACGCGUGGGUAACCUGCCUUGUACAGGGGGAUAACAGUUGGAAACGGCUGCUAAUACCGCAUAAGCGCACGGCAUCGCAUGAUGCAGUGUGAAAAACUCCGGUGGUAUAAGAUGGACCCGCGUUGGAUUAGCUAGUUGGUGAGGUAACGGCCCACCAAGGCGACGAUCCAUAGCCGACCUGAGAGGGUGACCGGCCACAUUGGGACUGAGACACGGCCCAAACUCCUACGGGAGGCAGCAGUGGGGAAUAUUGCACAAUGGGCGAAAGCCUGAUGCAGCGACGCCGCGUGAGCGAAGAAGUAUUUCGGUAUGUAAAGCUCUAUCAGCAGGGAAGAUAAUGACGGUACCUGACUAAGAAGCACCGGCUAAAUACGUGCCAGCAGCCGCGGUAAUACGUAUGGUGCAAGCGUUAUCCGGAUUUACUGGGUGUAAAGGGAGCGCAGGCGGUGCGGCAAGUCUGAUGUGAAAGCCCGGGGCUCAACCCCGGUACUGCAUUGGAAACUGUCGUACUAGAGUGUCGGAGGGGUAAGCGGAAUUCCUAGUGUAGCGGUGAAAUGCGUAGAUAUUAGGAGGAACACCAGUGGCGAAGGCGGCUUACUGGACGAUAACUGACGCUGAGGCUCGAAAGCGUGGGGAGCAAACAGG
Molecule: ribosomal RNA, 779 nt
Filed under: Agathobacter rectalis
Lineage: Bacteria; Bacillati; Bacillota; Clostridia; Lachnospirales; Lachnospiraceae
Description: bacterial SSU rRNA
Rfam family: Bacterial small subunit ribosomal RNA
Source: RNAcentral